Molecule: RNA transcript, 4735 nt
Organism: Caretta caretta (loggerhead turtle)
Lineage: Eukaryota; Metazoa; Chordata; Testudines; Cheloniidae
Gene: PGS1
Gene name: phosphatidylglycerophosphate synthase 1
Source: RefSeq, a predicted model, not a curated record
AUGGCGGCGGCCGGAAGCGGAAGCAGCGUAGUCUCCAUGGCGGCGGCCGGCGGUCCCGCGUUGUGGCGGCGGCUCUUGGGCCUGCUUCCUCACGGGAGGCUGGGCCUGGCCGCGCUGCUCGGGCGCCUCUCGGACCGUCUGUCCCUCGGCCGGGACCGGCGCUCCCGGAGAUCAUCAUGGCUGCUGCUGGCCCCAUUGCUCACCCCUGUGGUUCCUCAGGUCACAGCCCCAUCAUUCUGCGUUUGUCCCGAGGGUGCGCACAGGUUCCAGUGGAUCAGGAACCUGGUUCCAGAGUUUGCGGUCUCCAGCUCUCGCAUCCGGGUGCUCUCAUCCCCAACUGAAUUCUAUGAACUCAUGAAGGAACAGAUAAAGGCAGCCAAGCAGCGAGUAGUGGUGGCUUCGCUGUACCUCGGAACAGGACUCCUAGAACAGGAGCUGGUGGAUUGCAUAGAAGAAACCCUGGAGAGGUCACUGCAGGCAAGUGGGCCCUCGGACUUCAGAGUUUCCAUUCUCCUAGAUUUCACAAGGGGAUCUCGAGGCAGAAAGAACUCUCGAACCAUGUUACUUCCACUGCUGAGAAGGUUUCCAGAGCAAGUCCGUGUAUCCCUCUUCCACACUCCAAAUCUGCGUGGGCUUCUCAAAUGCUUAAUCCCUGAGCGUUUCAACGAAACCAUCGGGCUGCAGCACAUCAAGGUUUACCUCUUUGAUGAUAACGUGAUCCUGAGUGGUGCAAACUUGAGUGACUCGUACUUCACCAAUCGGCAGGACCGCUAUGUGUUCCUACAGGACUCUCACGAGAUCGCAGAUUUCUUCACUGAACUAGUGGAUGCAAUUGGAGAUGUGUCGCUGCACUUACAGCCAGAUGAUACAGUCCAGAUGAUGGAGGGGAUGGUGCAUCCUUACCAAGGAGACAAGACGACAUAUUGUGAAGUGGCAAAUAGGAGAGUAAUGGAAGUGAUCAACGCUGCCAGGACACGACAAAAACUCCACACGCAGACUUUUCAUGGGAGGAGAUCAGAAGGAGAUCCGUUAUUGCCCCAGCAAAACCCUGAUGCAGGAGGGGACCAAAAAACAGAACCGGACACCUGGAUUUAUCCACUAAUUCAAAUGAAACCCUUUGGGAUUCAAAUAGACGAGAUAGUCACAGAGACGUUGCUGACAGAGGCAGAGCGAGGUGCCAGAAUACACCUCACCACUGGUUACUUCAACCUCACGCAAGCCUACAUGGAUCUCGUUCUGAGCACCAGAGCAGAGUAUCAGAUUUUGCUGGCCUCACCGGAGGUGAAUGGGUUCUUUGGUGCCAAAGGGGUGGCAGGUGCCAUUCCUGCUGCCUAUGUUUACAUUGAGCAUCAGUUUUACAGCGAGGUGUGCUGCCUUGGCCAGCAAGACAGGGUCCAACUGCGGGAGUACUACAGGAACGGAUGGACUUUCCACGCUAAAGGCCUCUGGCUGUACCUGGCAGGAAGCAGUCUGCCCUGCCUGACUCUGAUUGGCUCUCCUAAUUUUGGGUACAGGUCGGUUCAUCGGGACCUGGAAGCUCAGGUUGCAAUAGUGACAGAAAAUCGUGACCUGCAGCAGCAGCUCCAUCAGGAGCAGGAGCAGCUUUAUCUCAAGUCAGGUGUCGUGUCGUUGUCUACAUUUGAACAGCCAACCCGCUACGUAAAGCUGUGGGUGAAGCUGGUAACGCCUCUGAUUAAGAACUUCUUUUGAAAGGAGAAAGGAUCCUCCUCUGGGUUCUGUAAGGCGGUGCUCUUAUCUCACAUACAUCCCCAAGAGAGCCACAGCCUUUUGACAGCUGCAGUGAACUGUGGAGCUCUCAUAGAAGAGAAGAGCCUUUCCUCACCUUGUAAUCCAAGUUGGGUGGAACUAAAAACCCUGGAGCCAAGGUCAUUUCUCCCUCCAGCAUCUCCACGCGGAUGUAUUCUGACAGGGCCCCUCGCUGGAUUCGCUCACAGCCUGCUGCCAACCCAGCACACCGCACCUGCAGGCUUAGGACCACGUUAGAGCUCUGUUUUCAGACAAAGGCUGCCUCACACUACUCACUGAAGGAGUGACACUGGCUCUCUACAGCACGUGCCCACUGAAGCCAAUGGGAGGUCCCUGUCUGGAGCAAAGGCAUACAGUGCAGCGGAGAGCUACUGCGUGGCUGUGUGUAUCUACUGGGCAACAUCCGUAACUCAGGUGCCAGGCAAAUAACCAUGAACGAUGUUGAUUUUAACGCUGAUACUUUCACAAACAAAAGGGACGUUAGCCGCUGCUCAGUAACACCUCUAAGCCUGGCUUCUUAGCUUUAAAAUGAUACCAACCUGAAGAUGCCUUUCCAAGUGAUGCUGGAUUACACAGUGCUGCAUAACUGACUGCUUCUCAUGCCACCUUCUGCUAUGGUGGCUACUUUGGUGAUUAGAAAACCUCUAAUGAAAUAAUCAGCUAAUCAACAUUAUUUUUAGAUAAAUAUUCCAAUAACGUGACUGUUUUUGAGCAUUUUUAAGAGCUACAACUCCCAAGGGUGUUAGUUUAACCAAUAAUUUCCAGCAUUAUCAAACUUAUCCUGUCUCCUGUUUCAACCUGCAUAUUACUGGCCUCACAAUUGUGUGGCCUGGUUUACGGACUUCCAUGGUGCAACGUCUUAGGCUAUUCUAUGUAGUGUUUACAACAGAAGAAUUUGUACAGUGUUACAUUCUUCAGACACACCUUAAUUCCUCCCCAUCCUUGAGAUUGUAAGAAAUCCACGGGGGACGUCAGUCCAGCCUUGAACGGAAAGCGCAAAAGAAAGUCCAGUUCAACCGGGUUCACUUCUUUCUUCAUUAACAAAACCUGAUGAGAAAGCAGAGAUUACAAUGCACAAGGUUACAUAACCCAUUUCUGAACAGCUGAACUGCUCUGUGUCACAAGCCCUAUGCUCACACGUGCUGGGAAAAUAGACAUUGCAGAAGUGGUACAGACACACGGGCUCCCGGAGGAAUGGGCUGGACCCCUCAGGCUCUGGCGUUGGAACUCUUUGGGGGCAGGGCCAUGUUUACUAUGUUUGUACAGAGUCUCGCACAAUGGGGCAGGGACCUGUCUGGCCUCUCGGUGCGAUGCCACUGUAAAUGUUACAAAAUGCAUAACAGCAGCAGCACUGGAGAAGGCUUUUGCCCACCAAGACAAGCCCACCGGGACCAAUGAUGGGCCCACAAUGAAGGGAGGAACCCCUGUGGCUUUGUCUGCACUAGCAUUCCAUUGGGAUCAUUACUGCCAGGCUGGGUCUGUCACCUUCCUGCUUCUGCCCCGCUAUUCUACCCAGUGCAGCCAUAAGGGUCACCCCUUUCCUGUUGCUCUGACCAGAACAGCCCCCUCCCACCUGCCCCAGUCUCCUCCUCUUUGCUUCACCCUCACACACACUUGGAGCAGCCCACCAAGCACUCUCCCCAUCUCCAACUCACUUCUCCCAGGAACAGUUGCUACCUUGUGUUCUCCCACAGCAUCUCAACUCUGCCCCUCCCCACAUGUGCAGGCCCAAUCCUGCCCAUGCUGACUACAGGACUCAGCGCUCACUUACCUGACUAGCUCUCUGGAGAGCAAUGGGAUUACUCCACUAUUGAGCAUUCCCUUGAGAUGAAACCCGGGCCCCACUGAAGUCAGUAGGCAUUUUGCCAUUCUCUUCAGUGGGACCCGAGUGCCACACAAGGGCUUGAUGCAGGAAUCACUAUGGCUCAAUCAUAACAGUCCCUUCUGCUCUCACCAAGUGUUGGUAGAACUGGGGCCCUGGGUUCAAUGCAGUUGAACACAUUCUCAGGCAUCCUAGAGGAUACAGGCCUUAGGGCCUGAACCAAAGUCCACUGAAGCCUGGGGGAAUCUUCCACUGACUUCAGUGGAUUUUGGCUCAAACUUUAAGAUGUAAAUUCUUUGGGUGAGAGCAUGUCUGACUGAGCCAUGAUUGUAAAACAGGGUGCAUUUACACACCAUCUAGAAGAUUAUUAUUAAGGCUACGAUUUUGGCAUGGAGCUCACAGUGUUCAUGGCAAUUGGAAUUUUAAUAAAGUCUGUGACCCUUGCAAUGAUGGCUCUUGCGGGCCUGUCUCUCUGCUCUGGAAGUGGAGAGCUAGGCCAUGUGGUCAGAGUGCCACGGGAGUUUAGUAUCUCCACCCUUCCAUAGCUGGAGAUGGAGGGGCGGAUGGGCCAAGUUUGAUUGGUGUGGUGACGUAGCACAAGGGGUCACAACGCCCAGAGUGAGGAGCUGGACCCAGCCCUGUGGGACAGGAACUGCCAGGGCAGGUGGGCUCACACUCCAAAACCCCUCCCCACAGGCCAUGACACUUCUCUGACUAUAAGUUUUUUCCCUGCAGCUCUGACAUAAAUGUUUGCAUGACAAAAUUAUAUGAAUAAUAAUUAAGGCUAAUAUGCGGGGGACACAUGCUUUGCCCCAGGAAUAAGAGACCACCGUGUAUUACAUAUCUGAAAAGUUGUAUUAGCUAGUAAUUUUAACUGGAGUCCAGUGUGUUUAUCCAUAUUACCUGAAAGGCAACUUGGGCCAUGAAAAUGAGUUUGUCUCUCUCAAAGAGUCCCCGUGCAGUGUACACAAAGACCGAGUAGGUGAUCUCAUCUGUUAGGUUUAUCACCCGCUGCUUCACGUCGUCAGCUGGAAGAGUUCGCUGGAUGGCCUUCUCAAAGACUACGUUGAAUGCCUAGCCAGAAAUGGUUAGAGAUGGGUACCUCGAUUGUUGUUUUCAAUAAAACACUCAGAAUUGUAGCAACAA